Lethenteron reissneri (Far Eastern brook lamprey) is the source of this 2277-nucleotide long non-coding RNA. RefSeq lists it as uncharacterized. Lineage: Eukaryota; Metazoa; Chordata; Hyperoartia; Petromyzontiformes; Petromyzontidae. The record is from RefSeq and is a predicted model, not a curated record.
GAUGGAGGGGGAGACAUCGAGAGGGAGACGGUGUCUGGCGGCGUGACGAUGGUGAAUGUGGAGGAGGAGGAGGGGGAGGAGGAGGAGACCACAAUGCCAAGACACCACCACCAACCACCACCACGUGAUGAUGUUGAGCAGGACUUGAAGGAGGAAUGGGUGACCUCAAGACCAAGCAACGAUGGACCACCACCACAACCACCACCACCACCACCCACCACCACCACCACAACUACCACCACGAUGCUGAUGAUGAAGAUUGGGAAUGUUCAACACCAGGCACGGGCGCUUUGUGUGUGGGGGGGGGGGGGGGGGGGAGUGGUGCAGAGAACGUGGGGAGCGGUGGCGCAAGUGGUCAACGCACUGAGCCACGAACCCAGCGACCCGAGUUCGAUUCCCGCUCACGGCCAACACCAGUGACGACGAAUAUCUGAACCGGUCUUGGGCCUCCACUAGGUCGACUCAGCCUCAAAUGAGUACCUGGCGCGGUGAGACAAAGGCGGCUGGGCAUGGUGUUGGCUACCCACCCCCUCGUGUGCCGUGCCGGCCUUCAGAGGUGCUACUCGUUACCAGCACUUGCCCCUACAGUCCGUUAAUGCUGCACGGGGGACCUUUAUCUUUGGUGCAGCGAACACACCGACGGGAUCAUUGUGAGCUCUCGUGCCAGGCGGUUCUAGCAAUGGUCACUGCUGGUGGGUCAGGCUUGACUGUAGGGUCAGGGUCACUGCUGGUGGGUCAGGCUUGACUGUAGGGUCAGGGUCAGGGACGGUUGGGCAGGGUUUAGGGUGGUUCUCGUGGUAGGUGAGUUGGUGAUGGUAUAGGGGAAGGCGGGUAACUAGGAGUUGAUUGGUUAAGGUUUAGGGUAAGUCCUAGGGGCUGGUCAGGGCGAGUACUAAUGGCGAGUGGAUAGGGCUGAGUGAGGAUUAGUGGUGGGCGGGGUUCUCAAUCGCAGAAACGAAAAACAUCUAUAAUGUUUAUAAACACAUGGGGUUUGAUGAAACAAAGUUGUAACUUAACUUAGUGCUGGAUUAUCCUAGUCGCUACGACUACAUGUGUAGUAGCUACACCUGUAGUAGUAGCUACUACACCUGUAUUAGUAGCUACUACACCUGUAGUAGUAGCGACUAGGAUAAUCCAGCACUAAGUUAAGUUACAACUUUGUUUCAUCAAACCCCAUGUGUUUAUAAACAUUAUAGAUGUUUUUCGUUUCUGCGAUUGAGAACCCAAGGGGGGGGGAGGGGUGCAAGGCUUGCAGUAACAGGUGAAGAGCCACUGCACCAGAAUCAUGCAGCAGUGACAGGGGAAGAGCCAGUGGCACUAGAAGCAUGCAGCAGUAACAGGGGAAGAGCCACUGCACCAGAAGCAUGCAGCAGUGACAGGGGAAGAGCCAGUGGCACUAGAAGCAUGCAGCAGUAACAGGGGAAGAGCCACUGCACUAGAAGCAUGCAGCAGUAACAGGGGAAGAGCCAGUGGCACUAGAAGCAUGCAGCAGUAACAAGGAAAGAGCCACUGCACCAGAAGCAUGCAGCAGUGACAGGGGAAGAGCCAGUGGCACUAGAAGCAUGCAGCAGUAACAGGGGAAGAGCCAGUGGCACUAGAAGCAUGCAGCAGUGACAGAAGAGCCAGUGGCACUAGAAACAUGCAGCAGUAACAGGGGAAGAGCCACUGCACCAGAAGCAUGCAGCAGUAACAGGGGAAGAGCCACUGCACUAGAAGCAUGCAGCAGUACCAGGGGAAGAGCCAGUGGCACUAGAAGCAUGCAGCAGUAACAGGGGAAGAGCCAGUGGCGCUAGAAGCAUGCAGCAGUAACAGGGGAAGAGCCAGUGGCACUAGAAGCAUGCAGCAGUGACAGAAGAGCCAGUGGCACUAGAAACAUGCAGCAGUACCAGGGGAAGAGCCACUGCACUAGAAGCAUGCAGCAGUAACAGAAGAGCCAGUGGCACUAGAAGCAUGCAGCAGUAACAGAAGAGCCAGUGGCACUAGAAGCAUGCAGCAGUGACAGAAGAGCCAGUGGCACUAGAAGCAUGCAGCAGUACCAGGGGAAGAGCCAGUGGCACUAGAAGCAUGCAGCAGUAACAGGGGAAGAGCCACUGCACUAGAAGCAUGCAGCAGUGUCCCCAAUGCUUCUGCGUGCGUGGCGAUCACGACCCUGUGGGUGGCAGCCGCGUCGCGACCUCGCGUGUUCCUGAUCGCACUCUGACGCCAUUCCCUUCACUCAGGUCGCGUUGUCCAACUCGCAUCCGCGUCAUAACCCAUCAAUAAAAUGCCUUCCCGAAA